UGGGGAAUAUUGGGCAAUGGGCGAAAGCCUGACCCAGCAACGCCGCGUGAAGGAAGAAGGCCUUCGGGUUGGUAAACUUACUUUUACCUAGGGACGAAGGACGUGACGGUACCUGGAGAAAAG
RNAcentral lists this ribosomal RNA (123 nucleotides) under uncultured bacterium. RNAcentral describes it as "partial 16S ribosomal RNA". It matches the Rfam family "Bacterial small subunit ribosomal RNA", at positions 355 to 490 of the family's 1533-position model. The record is from RNAcentral.